This 113-nucleotide ribosomal RNA is filed under the name Pteropus alecto (black flying fox). Lineage: Eukaryota; Metazoa; Chordata; Mammalia; Chiroptera; Pteropodidae. The record is from RNAcentral.
GUCUACGGCCAUGCCAUCCUGAACAAUCCCGUCUGAUCUCGGAAGCUAAGCAGGGUCGAGCCUGGUUAGUACUUGGAUGAGAGACCCCCUAGGAAGAGCAGGUGCUAUAGGAG